This 256-nucleotide ribosomal RNA is filed under the name uncultured bacterium. Its description in RNAcentral is "partial 16S ribosomal RNA". It matches the Rfam family "Bacterial small subunit ribosomal RNA", at positions 524 to 776 of the family's 1533-position model. The record is from RNAcentral.
UACGUAGGGUGCGAGCGUUAAUCGGAAUUACUGGGCGUAAAGCGUGCGCAGGCGGUUCGUUGUGUCGGUGGUGAAAUCCCCGGGCUCAACCUGGGAAUUGCGAUGGAGACUGCAAGGCUAGAAUCUGGCAGAGGGGGGGUAGAAUUCCACGGUGUAGCAGUGAAAUGCGUAGAGAUGUGGAGGAACACCGAUGGCGAAGGCAGCCCCCUGGGUCAAGAUUGACGCUCAUGCACGAAAGCGUGGGGGAGCAAACAGG